GACGAACGCUGGCGGCGUGCUUAACACAUGCAAGUCGAACGCUGAAGCUCAGCUUGCUGGGUGGAUGAGUGGCGAACGGGUGAGUAACACGUGAGUAACCUGCCCUCUUCUUUGGGAUAACGCCCGGAAACGGGUGCUAAUACUGGAUAUUCACUGAUUCUCGCAUGGGGGUUGGUGGAAAGGUUUUUUCUGGUGGGGGAUGGGCUCGCGGCCUAUCAGCUUGUUGGUGGGGUGAUGGCCUACCAAGGCUUUGACGGGUAGCCGGCCUGAGAGGGUGACCGGUCACAUUGGGACUGAGAUACGGGCCAGACUCCUACGGGAGGCAGCAGUGGGGAAGAUUGCACAAUGGGCGAAAGCCUGAUGCAGCGACGCCGCGUGAGGGAUGGAGGCCUUCGGGUUGUAAACCUCUUUCGCUCAUGGUCAAGCCGCAGCUUUGGGUUGUGGUGAGGGUAGUGGGUAAAGAAGCGCCGGCUAACUACGUG
This 482-nucleotide ribosomal RNA is filed under the name uncultured bacterium. RNAcentral's name for it is "partial 16S ribosomal RNA". It matches the Rfam family "Bacterial small subunit ribosomal RNA", at positions 28 to 507 of the family's 1533-position model. The record is from RNAcentral.